RNAcentral lists this ribosomal RNA (483 nucleotides) under uncultured bacterium. RNAcentral describes it as "bacterial SSU rRNA". It matches the Rfam family "Bacterial small subunit ribosomal RNA", at positions 30 to 507 of the family's 1533-position model. The record is from RNAcentral.
AUUGAACGCUGGCGGAAUGCUUUACACAUGCAAGUCGAGCGGCAGCGCGGGGCAACCUGGCGGCGAGCGGCGAACGGGUGAGUAAUGCAUCGGAACAUGUCCAUGUCGUGGGGGAUAACGAAGCGAAAGCUUUGCUAAUACCGCAUAAGAUCUACGGAUGAAAGCAGGGGACCGCAAGACCUCGCGCUACUGGAGCGGCCGAUAUCAGAUUAGCUAGUUGGUGGGGUAAAGGCCUACCAAGGCAACGAUCUGUAGUUGGUCUGAGAGGACGACCAGCCACACUGGGACUGAGACACGGCCCAGACUCCUACGGGAGGCAGCAGUGGGGAAUUUUGGACAAUGGGCGAAAGCCUGAUCCAGCAAUGCCGCGUGCAGGAAGAAGGCCUUCGGGUUGUAAACUGCUUUUGUACGGAACGAAAAGGUCUGCCCUAAUACGGCGGGCCCAUGACGGUACCGUAAGAAUAAGCACCGGCUAACUACGUG